This 492-nucleotide ribosomal RNA is filed under the name uncultured bacterium. RNAcentral's name for it is "partial 16S ribosomal RNA". It matches the Rfam family "Bacterial small subunit ribosomal RNA", at positions 29 to 507 of the family's 1533-position model. The record is from RNAcentral.
AGUGAACGCUGGCGGUAGGCCUAACACAUGCAAGUCGAACGGCAGCACAGUAAGAGCUUGCUCUUACGGGUGGCGAGUGGCGGACGGGUGAGGAAUACAUCGGAAUCUACUUUUUCGUGGGGGAUAACGUAGGGAAACUUACGCUAAUACCGCAUACGACCUACGGGUGAAAGCAGGGGAUCUUCGGACCUUGCGCGAUUGAAUGAGCCGAUGUCGGAUUAGCUAGUUGGCGGGGUAAAGGCCCACCAAGGCGACGAUCCGUAGCUGGUCUGAGAGGAUGAUCAGCCAAACUGGAACUGAGACACGGUCCAGACUCCUACGGGAGGCAGCAGUGGGGAAUAUUGGACAAUGGGCGCAAGCCUGAUCCAGCCAUACCGCGUGGGUGAAGAAGGCCUUCGGGUUGUAAAGCCCUUUUGUUGGGAAAGAAAAGCAGCAGGUUAAUACCCCGUUGUUCUGACGGUACCCAAAGAAUAAGCACCGACUAACUUCGUG